RNAcentral lists this ribosomal RNA (476 nucleotides) under uncultured bacterium. RNAcentral describes it as "bacterial LSU rRNA". It matches the Rfam family "Bacterial large subunit ribosomal RNA", at positions 2176 to 2651 of the family's 2925-position model. The record is from RNAcentral.
CUGAGUGGAGCCAUCCUUGAAAUACCACCCUGGUAAUAUUGAGGUUCUAACCCAGGUCCGUAAUCCGGAUCGGGGACAGUGUAUGGUGGGUAGUUUGACUGGGGCGGUCUCCUCCUAAAGAGUAACGGAGGAGUACGAAGGUGCGCUCAGCGUGGUCGGAAAUCACGCGUAGAGUAUAAAGGCAAAAGCGCGCUUAACUGCGAGACCGACAAGUCGAGCAGGUACGAAAGUAGGUCUUAGUGAUCCGGUGGUUCUGUAUGGAAGGGCCAUCGCUCAACGGAUAAAAGGUACUCUGGGGAUAACAGGCUGAUACCGCCCAAGAGUUCAUAUCGACGGCGGUGUUUGGCACCUCGAUGUCGGCUCAUCUCAUCCUGGGGCUGAAGCAGGUCCCAAGGGUAUGGCUGUUCGCCAUUUAAAGAGGUACGCGAGCUGGGUUUAGAACGUCGUGAGACAGUUCGGUCCCUAUCUACCGUGGG